UUAGAUUUUAUUUAUUAAUUUAUUUUAUUAAAUUUUUAAAUUAUUAAAAAUAAUUAUAAAAAGUAAAGUUUUAGUAUUGUUUAAAGAAAAAAUAAAUUUUAUAAUAGUUAAGUAGUAUUGUGAAAGAAAAUUGAAAUAUUGUGAAAAAUUUUUAUUUAAAAAGAAAAUUUAAUUUAUUGUACCUU
RNAcentral lists this ribosomal RNA (185 nucleotides) under Drosophila canalinea. RNAcentral describes it as "partial 16S ribosomal RNA". The record is from RNAcentral. Lineage: Eukaryota; Metazoa; Arthropoda; Insecta; Diptera; Drosophilidae.